RNAcentral lists this ribosomal RNA (877 nucleotides) under uncultured Actinobacteridae bacterium. RNAcentral's name for it is "bacterial SSU rRNA". It matches the Rfam family "Bacterial small subunit ribosomal RNA", at positions 8 to 893 of the family's 1533-position model. The record is from RNAcentral. Lineage: Bacteria; Bacillati; Actinomycetota; Actinomycetes.
AGAGUUUGAUCAUGGCUCAGGACGAACGCUGGCGGCGUGCUUAACACAUGCAAGUCGAGCGAGGCCCAUCCAGUCGCAAGACUGGGGAAGACCUAGCGGCGAACGGGUGAGUAACACGUGAGCAACCUGCCCCGAAGUCUGGGAUAACACCGGGAAACCGGUGCUAAUACCGGAUGCCCUCCUCUGGUCGCAUGGCCUAGGGAGGAAAGAAUUUUGCUUCGGGAGGGGCUCGCGGGCUAUCAGCUUGUUGGUGGGGUAACGGCCCACCAAGGCGACGACGGCUAGCUGGUCUGAGAGGACGACCAGCCACACUGGGACUGAGACACGGCCCAGACUCCUACGGGAGGCAGCAGUGGGGAAUCUUGCGCAAUGGGCGAAAGCCUGACGCAGCAACGCCGCGUGGGGGAUGACGGCCUUCGGGUUGUAAACCCCUUUCAGCAGGGACGAAACUGACGGUACCUGCAGAAGAAGCCCCGGCCAACUACGUGCCAGCAGCCGCGGUAAUACGUAGGGGGCGAGCGUUGUCCGGAUUUAUUGGGCGUAAAGAGCUCGUAGGCGGCUUGGCAAGUCGGGUGUGAAACCUCCAGGCUCAACCUGGAGACGCCACUCGAUACUGCUAUGGCUAGAGUCCGGUAGGGGACCACGGAAUUCCUGGUGUAGCGGUGAAAUGCGCAGAUAUCAGGAGGAACACCGGUGGCGAAGGCGGUGGUCUGGGCCGGCACUGACGCUGAGGAGCGAAAGCGUGGGUAGCAAACAGGAUUAGAUACCCUGGUAGUCCACGCCGUAAACGUUGGGCACUAGGUGUGGGGCCUUAUCAACGGGUUCCGUGCCGUAGCUAACGCAUUAAGUGCCCCGCCUGGGGAGUACGGCCGCAAGG